This is a long non-coding RNA of Oncorhynchus keta (chum salmon), 835 nucleotides long. RefSeq lists it as uncharacterized. The transcript has 2 exons. Lineage: Eukaryota; Metazoa; Chordata; Actinopteri; Salmoniformes; Salmonidae. The record is from RefSeq and is a predicted model, not a curated record.
AAUCCCGCUUCCUGAGUCCGUGUUUGCCUGUGUUUCUGUCCUGGAGUGUGUUUCCGGUGUCCUGGAACGCACCCUGUCUGGUUACCGGGCGAAUUAGCUUGUUGGGAGAUCGAUGUAUCUGUAUCCCAUCAGUAAUCUGCACACCUGUCCUGAUCAUCAUCUCUCCCCUUCAAAAGCUCGGACCUGACAUCCAUUCCCUGCCGGAUCGUUAGCCAUGAACAUUACUCACCCGGAUCAUUUACCCCAUUCCCGCCUGGUCGUCGGAGGAUUCCGCUACCCCAUUGGAUCCACCUAUUUACUCCCAUCAACUCAACACCGCUGCCCGCUACGCCACCUGGAUAUAUCUACCCAUUCACAUCCAAUUGUAAAUAAAUACUCACCUUCUUCCUACUCCCCUUGUCCUGGUCUGCUUCUGGGUUCGAUUUUGAAAGAACGUGACAACUUUUUCACAUCAAUAUUGUACAUGUGAUUGUAAAAGUUUUGUAUAUUUUGGUUUGGCCCAUCGUGGGUUAUCUGUAUUUCUGUACCCCCUUAUUGUUCUCUUUUGCCUGACCUUCGGCUAGCAAGGUAUGUUGUUCUUGGCUCCGAAAUGAAUGUUACACAAUGUGCUGUUAUGCAACCAUAAGUUUGUUACAAUGUGGACAAUAUAAAGAUUUAUGUUAACAAGUUUCACCGAACUCGCUAACUAGGGUACCUAUUGUAACUUGUGAGUACUUGGGAAAGUGAGUGUCCAUGUGCUUGCGCAGGUGCCUGAGAGCUGUGACUGCGCCGAGGGCUAAAAUAUUGUGUGUUGUCUCUUCCCGUACAGGGAAAAUAAAGAAUGCAACCAGCAGAC